CAGGGAGCAGUGCAACAAGACAUGUGGUUCCAAUCUGUCUCCUUUCUCACAGCAAGAGUGGGAGCGUUCAUUUAUCUCACUCCACAGCAGGGCAAUAAGCUUGGAUAAAAGUCGAUAUGGGACCCGAUCAGUACUGCUGAUCCCAGUGGAAGGUCUGGCAGCUUCGCAGUGUCAUAUUUCCAAGAAGCAACCUGAGGAGCUUAAAGUGCAAAAACCUGCAUUUCCUCUAGUGGCCACUUGAGGCUGACUUCAAAAUGUGUCUUCCGUCCUGUCUCCCUCAUCUCACUCCCAACCGGUCGCUACAGACAGCGUCCUGCCUGAUCCUGAUUCUGCCAGAAGCUUCUUCAAGUUAAAAGGGAGUUUUUCCUUCCCAAUAUCGCCAAGCGCUUUC
Pelmatolapia mariae (spotted tilapia) is the source of this 391-nucleotide long non-coding RNA. RefSeq lists it as uncharacterized. NCBI's taxonomy places the organism in Eukaryota, Metazoa, Chordata, Actinopteri, Cichliformes, Cichlidae. The transcript has 3 exons. The record is from RefSeq and is a predicted model, not a curated record.